CAGCCGCCGCGGGAAUACAGAGGGUGCGAGCGUUAAUCGGAUUUACUGGGCGUAAAGCGUGCGUAGGCGGCUUCUUAAGUCGGAUGUGAAAUCCCUGAGCUUAACUUAGGAAUUGCAUUCGAUACUGGGAAGCUAGAGUAUGGGAGAGGAUGGUAGAAUUCCAGGUGUAGCGGUGAAAUGCGUAGAGAUCUGGAGGAAUACCGAUGGCGAAGGCAGCCAUUUGGCCUAAUACUGACGCUGAGGUACGAAAGCAUGGGGAGCAAACAGGAUUAGAUACCCCUGUAGUCCCUGUCUCUUAUAC
This 301-nucleotide ribosomal RNA is filed under the name uncultured bacterium. Its description in RNAcentral is "partial 16S ribosomal RNA". It matches the Rfam family "Bacterial small subunit ribosomal RNA", at positions 509 to 807 of the family's 1533-position model. The record is from RNAcentral.